RNAcentral lists this small RNA (3016 nucleotides) under Pongo abelii (Sumatran orangutan). RNAcentral describes it as "retained intron". Lineage: Eukaryota; Metazoa; Chordata; Mammalia; Primates; Hominidae. The record is from RNAcentral.
GGGAAAACCUGUCCAUGCCUGAAGCAGCUUGACCCCAGCAAACACCCUGCCUCCAUGGAGUGAACUGCAAAUCUCAAAAAAAAAAAAAAAAAUCUACUUCCUACCCCUCCUGCUCCCUGGGGAGGGACAGAAGGUUCCUAAAACUGACAGUUUCGCCUCCAUGAUCUUUAAAAGAGCAGAAGUUGGCUGUGAGGCUGCAGUGCUGCCUCGAUUGGGGUAGUGUGGUCUCUGUUGCGGCUGGGCUCCAAAGAGAGCCACAAUUGGCUCUGAUGAGGAAGGAGCCUAGAAAUGAAAGAUUGCAAAGAGGGCUUCUGUACGCCAUGGCUGAGACUGUGUCGUUUCUUGCAAGGUGAAACUUGGCAGUUCUACCUUGCAAGUAAAAACCUAAAUUAAUUUUUUUUAAGAGAAAUUAAGUCAGAAACAAGGCUUCGGAAAAACUGUGAGUGUUAGGCAUAAACUGAUUUUGGAUGAUCUUUAGGUGAGAAAGGGUGGAGUUACCAUCAGAAACAUGUUUUUAUUUAUGCUUUUCGAAUCCCCACUGGUGUGCGAUGUGUGUGUGCGUGCGCGUGCAUGUGCGUGUGUAUUGGUUAGCAUGAGAGUAUGCAUCAUCUCAAUUCUCUAACCAGUCUUUCUUUUUUGCAUCUUUUCUAUGCACAGUUCAUAUAGAUCCCCUAUAAAUAAAUAUAUAGGUCCAUCCACACCUUUUCAUUUUAUUUGUAAAUUGUUUGGUAUAAGCGGCAGAGCGUAAUGAAACCUGGUGAAGUUUAAAAGAUUAGAUUUUUUUUUUAUACUGACACUUCAUAACACUGUUCAUAUGUCUCCGAGUGAGAUUUAUGAAUAUAUGAGCAGUACUGCAAAAUUAUACUGCACCAGAGACUUCCUGCACCACAGGGGUGGCAGUCUAAAGUGACACAGCUUCAAGCAUUUUUCACAGACAAGAAGCAAAAUUUAACCCCCUUAAGGGGAAGUAUGAUUUCAACAGCUUGAAAUGAGCUCAUUUGUAGAUGGUUUUUUUUUCUCUCAUCUUCCAUAAUUUUUUGGUGUUAAGAUUAAAACAGAUUGCACAGCCAAUGUAAGGGCACAUAAGCUGCCCAGAGUACAGUUUGGCCCUUAAAGAGAAAUCUUCAUUCAUUGUCUUUAUCAGCACUCCUCAAUCAGGUAAAUGAAGAUAAACUUGCCCCUAAAUUCCUAAGGCUCUCAGCCCAAUUUCCAGUAUCGUACUUAGCAGAGAGGGUGUGGAAUUUUCAAACAGUAAGUGGCAAGGAACAUCAAUUAAUCCAGUGGAGAAGCCCUCAUCUCUCUGGAACCAAAGACAAUGACAUUAGGAAAUAAUUAGUGUAUUGAAUAUAAAUGGUGUAAAAUUGACCAAUAAAAAAGAGAAUCAGAAGUGCAAAAGAUGGUCUCUAUGAAUUGAAACAUAGGAAAUGUCUGUCGUGGAAGAGUUCAAUUAGAUUCAGGGUCCUAACUGGUCUGUCUUAGAUUGGUCCAGUAUCCAGUACCUUGUAAUUUUGUAUAAACUAACGUUCAUUAAUCUCUAUGCUCUCAAAUUCUCUUUAACCAUUUUGUUUCCUCCUGGAACAGAGUGGGGUACUCAAACAUUGCCUGCUCUCUCUCUGCCCUAUAAAUGCUCCAUGAUGUGUUGGCUGGAGAACUUUUGUCUCUUUUUUCAGCAAUGGUACAACAGCUCCAUGAACGUGAUCUGCACCUGGUUGACGGACCGGAUGGACUUACAGCUUCACAUUUAUCAGUUGAAAACACUAAUUAGGAUGGUAAAGAAAACCUACAGAGAUUUCCGAUUGCAAGGGGUCCUAGACUCCACCUUAAACAGCAAGACCUAUGAAACGAUCCGGAACCGUCUCACUGUGGAGGAAGCCACAGCAUCAGUGAGUGAAGGUGGGGGACUGCAGGGCAUCAGCAUGAAGGACAGCGAUGAGGAAGACGAAGAAGACGAUUAGACCGUUUGGUCCUAGAGUCCGCUGGGACAGAGUCCUGUAAUCAGUGCAUGUCCUUAGUCUGUUAGUUAAACCCAUUAGGGAAUUUUCUGUCAACUACCAUGCCCAUGAGAUGUUUAUCAAUACAACUGCCAUUUUAGCUAUGUGGUACCAAGAUUAGCAAAUGACCUUCAUAUCCACUGAUUUCCUGAUGUCCAUGUCUAUAUGUUUACAAGCAAUAUGGAGCACCAUUCUUUAAAUACUGUUCAUGGAGAAUACAUAGUCUAACCACUAGGCGUGUCCCUGUUAUCAGCAAAGAUCAGUGAUGCUUCAUUCAUGUACUAUGUAUGCAUUGGUGGUAAAUGGAUGUGAGGGCAAGUACACCAAGCACAUUCACUUUGUUUCACGUAUGUGGAUGCCAGUUAAUUAAAUGAGUACAUAAAUAAAUUAAUUAAAACACAUAGAUCUGCUUUGUGUUUUUAUUUUUAUUUUUUGAAAAACAAAAGGCAAGUCUCCAACAAUCAACUUUUGAUUCUUUCUGAUUCUUUCCCCUAAAACUAAAAAAUGAACCCCUUGUGUCCUUGUUAACCCAUCCUUUCAUUUACUUAUAUAAUUAGCCAAAAAAAGGAUGGCUACAUACCAAUGGAUUGAUUCUCUUAAUUGCCACGGCAAGGGGGCAAUCCUAUCAUGACUUAACAUCAAGCGCACAGUUCAAAACUACUGUCUUCUGUCAAAGUUUUCUCCUCUUAAAUGUUAUUUUGCUUUUACGUCUCAACUGUGUAUGUAAAAAAAACGAAUAUUUAAAUUACAACCCUAGACUAAAAAUGUGUUUAUAAUAAGAUGUGGAUAUUUCCUUCAGUAGAUUGUAACCAUAAUUUAAAUUAUUUUGUUCCACACUGUUUUUUAUAUCUGUCAUGUACAUUGCAUUUUGAUCUGUAACUGCACAACCCUGGGGUUUGCUGCAGAGCUAUUUCUUUCCAUGUAAAGUAGUGGAUCCAUCUUGCUUUUGCCUUAUAUAAAGCCUACAGUUAUGGAAGUGUGGAAAACUGUGGCUUCUCAAUAAAUAUUCAAAUGUCCUAAGAAUA